CAUGGCAAGUCGAACGAACUCUGGUAUUGAUUGGUGCUUGCAUCAUGAUUUACAUUUGAGUGAGUGGCGAACUGGUGAGUAACACGUGGGAAACCUGCCCAGAAGCGGGGGAUAACACCUGGAAACAGAUGCUAAUACCGCAUAACAACUUGGACCGCAUGGUCCGAGCUUGAAAGAUGGCUUUGGCUAUCACUUUUGGAUGGUCCCGCGGCGUAUUAGCUAGAUGGUGGGGUAACGGCUCACCAUGGCAAUGAUACGUAGCCGACCUGAGAGGGUAAUCGGCCACAUUGGGACUGAGACACGGCCCAAACUCCUACGGGAGGCAGCAGUAGGGAAUCUUCCACAAUGGACGAAAGUCUGAUGGAGCAACGCCGCGUGAGUGAAGAAGGGUUUCGGCUCGUAAAACUCUGUUGUUAAAGAAGAACAUAUCUGAGAGUAACUGUUCAGGUAUUGACGGUAUUUAACCAGAAAGCCACGGCUAACUACGUGCCAGCAGCCGCGGUAAUACGUAGGUGGCAAGCGUUGUCCGGAUUUAUUGGGCGUAAAGCGAGCGCAGGCGGUUUUUUAAGUCUGAUGUGAAAGCCUUCGGCUCAACCGAAGAAGUGCAUCGGAAACUGGGAAACUUGAGUGCAGAAGAGGACAGUGGAACUCCAUGUGUAGCGGUGAAAUGCGUAGAUAUAUGGAAGAACACCAGUGGCGAAGGCGGCUGUCUGGUCUGUAACUGACGCUGAGGCUCGAAAGUAUGGGUAGCAAACAGGAUUAGAUACCCUGGUAGUCCAUACCGUAAACGAUGAAUGCUAAGUGUUGGAGGGUUUCCGCCCUUCAGUGCUGCAGCUAACGCAUUAAGCAUUCCGCCUGGGGAGUACGGCCGCAAGGCUGAAACUCAAAGGAAUUGACGGGGGCCCGCACAAGCGGUGGAGCAUGUGGUUUAAUUCGAAGCUACGCGAAGAACCUUACCAGGUCUUGACAUACUAUGCAAAUCUAAGAGAUUAGACGUUCCCUUCGGGGACAUGGAUACAGGUG
Molecule: ribosomal RNA, 1023 nt
Filed under: Lactiplantibacillus plantarum
Lineage: Bacteria; Bacillati; Bacillota; Bacilli; Lactobacillales; Lactobacillaceae
Description: bacterial SSU rRNA
Rfam family: Bacterial small subunit ribosomal RNA
Source: RNAcentral